AGCGAACGCUGGCGGCAGGCUUAACACAUGCAAGUCGAGCGGGCACUUUCGGGUGUCAGCGGCGGACGGGUGAGUAACGCGUGGGAACGUGCCCUCUGGUUCGGAAUAACUCAGGGAAACUUGAGCUAAUACCGGAUACGCCCUUUUGGGGAAAGGCUUGCUCCCGGAGGAUCGGCCCGCGUCUGAUUAGCUAGUUGGUGAGGUAACGGCUCACCAAGGCGACGAUCAGUAGCUGGUCUGAGAGGAUGAUCAGCCACACUGGGACUGAGACACGGCCCAGACUCCUACGGGAGGCAGCAGUGGGGAAUAUUGGACAAUGGGCGCAAGCCUGAUCCAGCCAUGCCGCGUGAGUGAUGAAGGCCUUAGGGUUGUAAAGCUCUUUUAUCCGGGACGAUAAUGACGGUACCGGAGGAAUAAGCCCCGGCUAACUUCGUG
RNAcentral lists this ribosomal RNA (435 nucleotides) under uncultured bacterium. Its description in RNAcentral is "partial 16S ribosomal RNA". It matches the Rfam family "Bacterial small subunit ribosomal RNA", at positions 29 to 507 of the family's 1533-position model. The record is from RNAcentral.